This 1488-nucleotide long non-coding RNA is filed under the name Anas platyrhynchos platyrhynchos (common mallard). Its description in RNAcentral is "lncRNA (ENSAPLG00000022483.1)". Lineage: Eukaryota; Metazoa; Chordata; Aves; Anseriformes; Anatidae. The record is from RNAcentral.
GGAAAGAUUUUGAUUCCAACUGGAAAGACAUGCAAGUCAAAUGGGAUUUGAGAGAAAAGGAGAUUCAUGUGCGUCCACUUUGAGAAGAAGCAGGGUGGGAGGUCAUGAGAAAAAUAGUUUUCAAAUCAAGCCGGGAAUGAUUUCCACAAGGAAGUCCCUGAAAAACACACAUUCAGUGUCAUCCAAGAGCCCUUGCAGGUUUGAUGGCACCAGCAGGUUCCUCUUCAGAGACCUUUCAGCAAGUGACCCUGCAGCAACAGAAAGCUUCUUCCCACUGACGAGCAUCUUCUGCAUCUUCUCUACAGGUUACAGCACAAAUGCCCAGGACUGUUUAUAUGGGAAUAUUUUCAGGCAGCAGCCCUUCAAACAUAGUGCCAAGCCUUCAAUAGCUGAAAACAGCAUCAUUUCUCUGCUUCCAUCUCUCAUGAUCCCUUUUUCUGCAGCCCUGGCAGAUGUUUGAUUCCACCAUAAUCCAAGUCCUUCUUUUCUCCCAUCAUUUUGUUGUCAUUUCCCAUCUGUUCACCUGUAACAUUAUUUCAUACUUAUGUGGGAUUUUAAACAUUUUUAACCAUAUUUAAUAAGAAUUUCUUAGUGGUUUCUUCAUAAAAUGAGAUGGUGAGCCAGUCUGUUGCUCAUUCCUUUGCCUGGCUUGCCUAGCAUCUUGUGCUUUGAUUUCUGAGCUCUUGGCAGAGAUAUCUUUUUUUUUUUUUUUUUUUUUUUUUUUUUUCUCUGAGUUAAUAUGGCACUGGGUGCUAAGGGAGAUCUUGCCCAGGGGCAGAAUGGUUAGACAUAUUCGCUGGAAUUACAAUGAACAGUAAUAAUAAUAAUAAUAGCAACAUUUCUUCAAGGAUACCACACAUGGGGAGUGAGAAUGUGGCCAAAGAAUGUCUGUUAUUGAAUUUCUGAUGAAAUAUUGAGAUGCUUCAGUGAAAAAAAAUACUGUUUAAAGGUGAUAGCUUUUGCUUAAUUUGUCUUCAUCGGACAUACCGAAAAUUCACAUUCAGUCUAAAUUAAUGAUUCAUGAUUAUUUUGCCAUUCCUGAUGGAUUUUUGUACAAUAAGUCUUCAGUUAAACUGAAUUCUUUAAGUCAUCUUAAUGAUAAUAUUACUAUUACAUGUUAGCAAAUUGUUGAACAUACAGAGAUAUCCACAAUUUUACAACUGUUUGAAAAAGUGCAGUGAUUGUCAUCUUUGGAGUAUAUUUUUUGCUCCUCGUCGUGCUGGUUACUUAGGUAUCUUGUUUUCCAUUGCAUACAUUUAAAAUAUAUAAAGCAGAAUGAAAUUCACAAAAGAGAGAUAUCAAACCACUUGUAUGACAUUACAACUCUACAUGACUACUGCUAUAAUAAUACCCAAUACCCUAGGCUAUGAGUAGUAAUAAUUAUACUAAGCCUAGCGUAGAUUCUCACUAAAGUAAUGAUCUCUGUUCUGAUGCCUACUGAUAUUAAAUACCAAUAAAAGUUGGGCCCUUGUUGGGAGAUACUAAUCA